UGAAGAACUUCCCUUGUCUCCUGUGGAUGGAGUUGGUUAUUUAUGGUGGUUUUAUUUCAAGCAUCAGCUAAUGUAGUUGAAACAGGGGAUUAACUAUAAAAACUGGGGAUGACUUAUGGAACCCAAGGGCAGGAAUCCAGCUGGGUCUCAGGAGAGGCUGGAACAGGGAGUGUGGGGGGCUCUUUCUCCAUCUCCUGUCCGCCCCUUUCUCUGCUUUUGCUCAGGACGCUCGCUCUGCACGAGGACCUCUUCUGCUUCUCAGCUGACUUGUUGGGUGAAGGUGGCCACCAGAGGCUCCUGAGGCCAUAUGUUACUCUGCUGCCCUUUGGUGAAUCUCACAUCCUCACCCUCAGUCACAGGCACUCACCGUCAGCAACAGUGAGAGUCACCCGAGAGCAACACGGCGGCAAGGAACCAGACUCAUGUCUUGGAGGAGAUGUGCUGGGCAGAAAGGACCACCUCCUGGGAGCACCAUUCACAGGGUCCACGAUGGCCACCUGAAUGGUAGCAGAUGUACUUUUCGGCUGUGGAAGCUCUCUGAUCUCUAACACUGGAUUCCUGGAUUCACCCGGAUGAAAAAGGAGAGACAAGGUCUGAGGUCGAAGCAGCAAAAGCAGAAAGGACAUGAAGCUUGAAGGAAAGAAGAUCAACUCCUACCCGGUCGGUCCUCUGCGUGCCUUUCCCUGGGCUUCCGAUUCUGUGCCGUGCGGAUGUAGUAACAGCAAUUCCCUAGACUCUUUCCAAAUCUCACUUUCAGAGUCUGUUUCAACAUUUCCACUAGUCCACAGGAGAUGUAAUUGCACUCUCGAUCAGUUACUCUGCGGGCCUAUUUCAGCUUCUUUCCUGCCUCUAUUUUAUGUCUGGAACGUUGCUUUUCUUUCUCUUUUUGCCUCCUGUUUUGAUUUAUACUCUCUGGUUAGAUUUUUUUUUUUUAGUUUCUGAGAUGUUUUUAUUCAGCAAUAUAUCAACAUUGCCUCUCACCUUAUACUGUACAUAACUUGUGGCAAAUGGAUAAUAAUAGAGUGAUACUUCACUUGCUAAUCAUCCAGUAAAGAGAAUGUGACUUAGUGAUCAGUGGCAAUUACCUUAGAAUUGCAACAUAUGGUAAAUUGAAUCUUUUUGUACAGUGGCAUUUAGUUGUUUGGGACCGUAUACCAAAUUAAUGGGAACAUCAGGUAAAUUUAACAUCUUUACUGCUUUAAUUGAUCCUAAAGUGGGUAAUUAUGUUAUCUAUGAAGUCAGUUUGUCCUUUUCCAUUAUUUAUGAUGUGCAGUUGUACACCAGGCACACACCAAUCACAAUGCAAUUGCAACAUGUAUGUUUGGAGGCUGCUCCAAAUGAGGGGCAAAACACGAAAGAGGAAUAACC
Molecule: long non-coding RNA, 1368 nt
Organism: Balaenoptera acutorostrata (minke whale)
Lineage: Eukaryota; Metazoa; Chordata; Mammalia; Artiodactyla; Balaenopteridae
Exons: 3
Source: RefSeq, a predicted model, not a curated record